UAGGGAAUCUUCCGCAAUGGACGAAAGUCUGACGGAGCAACGCCGCGUGAGUGAAGAAGGAUUUCGGUUCGUAAAACUCUGUUGUUAGGGAAGAAAAAAUGUAUAGUAACUAUAUACAAAAGAGACGGUACCUAACCAGAAAGCCACGGCUAACUACGUGCCAGCAGCCGCGGUAAUACGUAGGUGGCAAGCGUUGUCCGGAAUUAUUGGGCGUAAAGCGCGCGCAGGUGGUUUAGAAAGUCUGAUGUGAAAGCCCACGGCUCAACCGUGGAGGGUCAUUGGAAACUAAUAAACUUGAGUGCAGGAGAGAAGAGUGGAAUUCCUAGUGUAGCGAUGAAAUGCGUAGAGAUUAGGAGGAACACCGGUGGCGAAAGCGGCUUUUUGGCCUGCAACUGACACUGAGGCGCGAAAGCGUGGGGAGCAAACAGG
Molecule: ribosomal RNA, 429 nt
Filed under: Verrucomicrobiota bacterium
Lineage: Bacteria; Pseudomonadati; Verrucomicrobiota
Description: Verrucomicrobia bacterium partial 16S ribosomal RNA
Rfam family: Bacterial small subunit ribosomal RNA
Source: RNAcentral